This is a small nuclear RNA of Peromyscus californicus insignis, 105 nucleotides long. Lineage: Eukaryota; Metazoa; Chordata; Mammalia; Rodentia; Cricetidae. The record is from RefSeq and is a predicted model, not a curated record.
GUUCCCUUCAGCAGCACAUAUUGAAAAAUUGAAACCAUACAGAAAAGAUUAGCGUGGCCCACAUGCAGGGAUGACACCCAAAUUCAUGAAGCAUGCCAUAUUUUA